CCUACGGGAGGCAGCAGUGGGGAAUAUUGCACAAUGGGGGGAACCCUGAUGCAGCAACGCCGCGUGGAGGAAGAAGCAUUUCGGUGUGUAAACUCCUUUUAUAUAGGAAGAUAAUGACGGUACUGUAUGAAUAAGCACCGGCUAACUCCGUGCCAGCAGCCGCGGUAAUACGGGGGGUGCAAGCGUUACUCGGAAUCACUGGGCGUAAAGGGCAUGUAGGCGGAUAUAUAAGUCAAGAGUGAAAUCCUAUGGCUCAACCAUAGAACUGCUUUAGAAACUGUAUAUCUAGAGGAUGGGAGAGGUAAAUGGAAUUUCUGGUGUAGGGGUAAAAUCCGUAGAGAUCAGAAGGAAUACCGAUUGCGAAGGCGAUUUACUGGAACAUAACUGACGCUAAGAUGCGAAAGCGUGGGGAGCGAACAGGAUUAGAUACCCUAGUAGUC
This 440-nucleotide ribosomal RNA is filed under the name uncultured Campylobacteraceae bacterium. RNAcentral's name for it is "bacterial SSU rRNA". It matches the Rfam family "Bacterial small subunit ribosomal RNA", at positions 338 to 795 of the family's 1533-position model. The record is from RNAcentral. Lineage: Bacteria; Pseudomonadati; Campylobacterota; Epsilonproteobacteria; Campylobacterales; Campylobacteraceae.